Molecule: non-coding RNA, 130 nt
Filed under: Amphidinium carterae
Lineage: Eukaryota; Dinophyceae; Amphidiniales; Amphidiniaceae
Source: RNAcentral
GUCAGGCUGCUGGCCUAGCUGGAGGGCAGUGGGGCGAGGCUAUGCUGCAUGAGCUGGGCGAACUCGCAAAUGCUGGCAACAGAGUUCAAACGCCACUGCUCCAUGAAGUAGCGCUGAUCGCAGCGGACGA